Molecule: long non-coding RNA, 1057 nt
Filed under: Pan troglodytes (chimpanzee)
Lineage: Eukaryota; Metazoa; Chordata; Mammalia; Primates; Hominidae
Description: long non-coding RNA NONPTRT004236
Source: RNAcentral
CUCUUGGCAGGGUUUAAACCUCCCUUAAGGGAUCUAGGGGAGACAAGAAUACCAUAUUGUCCCAAAUGGAGCAUGGAGGCACUGUGGGCUAUGAUAGACUGUCUUCAAGGAAAACAACUCUAUGCUGUGUCCAUGAUUAAAAACUCAAGAUGUGAAUGCAAAAGCGCAUAGAAGAAAAUGGUGUACUUGUGGCCUGAGGAUUGAGAAGAAUUAAAGUCAUGAAAACCAAAAACUAUUUUAAAAGACUAGUAAAUUCAACAUUACAAGGAAAAACAUACAUUAAAAAAAACACAAACUGAAAAGCCAAACCCAGAUUGGGAGAAAAUAUUAGCAGUGCUUGUAACUGACAAAGGAUUACUAUGCGGAAUACUUUAUAAGGAGAAACACACACACACACACAUCCAAAAUUUUAAAUGGACAAAGGAAAUGAACAGGCAGUUCACAAAAGGGGAACCUCAAAUGCUGACUAAAUGUAAGAAAACAUGCUCACAGGGCCUUACCAGCUCACGGAAUCAACCACCAUUUUACAUCAACUGGCCAAAAUGUUAAAGUCUGGCCAGAUCAAGUGUUUGCAAGUAUGAAGAGCAUACUCUACUGACAGUAAAAAAAACUGGUACAACCAUGUUGCAGAGCAAAGGGAAAACCUCCAGCUGACAUGGCCUGGCAUCUUACUCUUCAUAUAUAUCCUAGAGAAGCCACAGGAUCAAGACACGCUCUGCAGCCCUAUUCAUUAUCAUGCAAACCUAAUUGCCCAUCUCCAGGAAUGCUGAACUGUGGAAGUAUACAAUGCAAUCUACAUAGCUAUUAAAAUCAAUCAACUGGAGUUUUUAUGUGUUAAGAUGGGUAAGUCAUACAGUAUUGAGAGAAAAAAACAAAUUGCAGAAGGACACACAGAAUAUGAAACAAUACUACAGGGUGAGUGUCCCUUAUCAGAAAUGCUUGGGAGCAGUAUUGCAGAUCUCCAUUUUUUUUUCAAGUUUUGGAAUAUUUGCAAAUACUUAUUGGUUGAGCAUCCUUAAUCCACAUUCAAAAUGCUCCAAUGAAUGUUUCCUUUGAG